Molecule: ribosomal RNA, 2931 nt
Filed under: Shigella flexneri
Lineage: Bacteria; Pseudomonadati; Pseudomonadota; Gammaproteobacteria; Enterobacterales; Enterobacteriaceae
Description: bacterial LSU rRNA
Rfam family: Bacterial large subunit ribosomal RNA
Source: RNAcentral
GGGUUGUGAGGUUAAGCGACUAAGCGUACACGGUGGAUGCCCUGGCAGUCAGAGGCGAUGAAGGACGUGCUAAUCUGCGAUAAGCGUCGGUAAGGUGAUAUGAACCGUUAUAACCGGCGAUUUCCGAAUGGGGAAACCCAGUGUGAUUCGUCACACUAUCAUUAACUGAAUCCAUAGGUUAAUGAGGCGAACCGGGGGAACUGAAACAUCUAAGUACCCCGAGGAAAAGAAAUCAACCGAGAUUCCCCCAGUAGCGGCGAGCGAACGGGGAGCAGCCCAGAGCCUGAAUCAGUGUGUGUGUUAGUGGAAGCGUCUGGAAAGGCGUGCGAUACAGGGUGACAGCCCCGUACACAAAAAUGCACAUACUGUGAGCUCGAUGAGUAGGGCGGGACACGUGGUAUCCUGUCUGAAUAUGGGGGGACCAUCCUCCAAGGCUAAAUACUCCUGACUGACCGAUAGUGAACCAGUACCGUGAGGGAAAGGCGAAAAGAACCCCGGCGAGGGGAGUGAAAAAGAACCUGAAACCGUGUACGUACAAGCAGUGGGAGCACGCUUAGGCGUGUGACUGCGUACCUUUUGUAUAAUGGGUCAGCGACUUAUAUUCUGUAGCAAGGUUAACCGAAUAGGGGAGCCGAAGGGAAACCGAGUCUUAACUGGGCGUUAAGUUGCAGGGUAUAGACCCGAAACCCGGUGAUCUAGCCAUGGGCAGGUUGAAGGUUGGGUAACACUAACUGGAGGACCGAACCGACUAAUGUUGAAAAAUUAGCGGAUGACUUGUGGCUGGGGGUGAAAGGCCAAUCAAACCGGGAGAUAGCUGGUUCUCCCCGAAAGCUAUUUAGGUAGCGCCUCGUGAAUUCAUCUCCGGGGGUAGAGCACUGUUUCGGCAAGGGGGUCAUCCCGACUUACCAACCCGAUGCAAACUGCGAAUACCGGAGAAUGUUAUCACGGGAGACACACGGCGGGUGCUAACGUCCGUCGUGAAGAGGGAAACAACCCAGACCGCCAGCUAAGGUCCCAAAGUCAUGGUUAAGUGGGAAACGAUGUGGGAAGGCCCAGACAGCCAGGAUGUUGGCUUAGAAGCAGCCAUCAUUUAAAGAAAGCGUAAUAGCUCACUGGUCGAGUCGGCCUGCGCGGAAGAUGUAACGGGGCUAAACCAUGCACCGAAGCUGCGGCAGCGACGCUUAUGCGUUGUUGGGUAGGGGAGCGUUCUGUAAGCCUGUGAAGGUGUGCUGUGAGGUAUGCUGGAGGUAUCAGAAGUGCGAAUGCUGACAUAAGUAACGAUAAAGCGGGUGAAAAGCCCGCUCGCCGGAAGACCAAGGGUUCCUGUCCAACGUUAAUCGGGGCAGGGUGAGUCGACCCCUAAGGCGAGGCCGAAAGGCGUAGUCGAUGGGAAACAGGUUAAUAUUCCUGUACUUGGUGUUACUGCGAAGGGGGGACGGAGAAGGCUAUGUUGGCCGGGCGACGGUUGUCCCGGUUUAAGCGUGUAGGCUGGUUUUCCAGGCAAAUCCGGAAAAUCAAGGCCGAGGCGUGAUGACGAGGCACUACGGUGCUGAAGCAACAAAUGCCCUGCUUCCAGGAAAAGCCUCUAAGCAUCAGGUAACAUCAAAUCGUACCCCAAACCAACACAGGUGGUCAGGUAGAGAAUACCAAGGCGCUUGAGAGAACUCGGGUGAAGGAACUAGGCAAAAUGGUGCCGUAACUUCGGGAGAAGGCACGCUGAUACGUAGGUGAAGCGACUUGCUCGUGGAGCUGAAAUCAGUCGAAGAUACCAGCUGGCUGCAACUGUUUAUUAAAAACACAGCACUGUGCAAACACGAAAGUGGACGUAUACUGUGUGACGCCUGCCCGGUGCCGGAAGGUUAAUUGAUGGGGUUAGCGCAAGCGAAGCUCUUGAUCGAAGCCCCGGUAAACGGCGGCCGUAACUAUAACGGUCCUAAGGUAGCGAAAUUCCUUGUCGGGUAAGUUCCGACCUGCACGAAUGGCGUAAUGAUGGCCAGGCUGUCUCCACCCGAGACUCAGUGAAAUUGAACUCGCUGUGAAGAUGCAGUGUACCCGCGGCAAGACGGAAAGACCCCGUGAACCUUUACUAUAGCUUGACACUGAACAUUGAGCCUUGAUGUGUAGGAUAGGUGGGAGGCUUUGAAGUGUGGACGCCAGUCUGCAUGGAGCCGACCUUGAAAUACCACCCUUUAAUGUUUGAUGUUCUAACGUGGACCCGUAAUCCGGGUUGCGGACAGUGUCUGGUGGGUAGUUUGACUGGGGCGGUCUCCUCCUAAAGAGUAACGGAGGAGCACGAAGGUUGGCUAAUCCUGGUCGGACAUCAGGAGGUUAGUGCAAUGGCAUAAGCCAGCUUGACUGCGAGCGUGACGGCGCGAGCAGGUGCGAAAGCAGGUCAUAGUGAUCCGGUGGUUCUGAAUGGAAGGGCCAUCGCUCAACGGAUAAAAGGUACUCCGGGGAUAACAGGCUGAUACCGCCCAAGAGUUCAUAUCGACGGCGGUGUUUGGCACCUCGAUGUCGGCUCAUCACAUCCUGGGGCUGAAGUAGGUCCCAAGGGUAUGGCUGUUCGCCAUUUAAAGUGGUACGCGAGCUGGGUUUAGAACGUCGUGAGACAGUUCGGUCCCUAUCUGCCGUGGGCGCUGGAGAACUGAGGGGGGCUGCUCCUAGUACGAGAGGACCGGAGUGGACGCAUCACUGGUGUUCGGGUUGUCAUGCCAAUGGCACUGCCCGGUAGCUAAAUGCGGAAGAGAUAAGUGCUGAAAGCAUCUAAGCACGAAACUUGCCCCGAGAUGAGUUCUCCCUGACCCUUUAAGGGUCCUGAAGGAACGUUGAAGACGACGACGUUGAUAGGCCGGGUGUGUAAGCGCAGCGAUGCGUUGAGCUAACCGGUACUAAUGAACCGUGAGGCUUAACCUUACAACGCCGAAGGUGUUU